UACGUAGGGUGCAAGCGUUUAUCCGGAAUUAUUGGGCGUAAAGAGCUCGUAGGCGGUUUGUCGCGUCUGCUGUGAAAACUGGAGGCUCAACCUCCAGCCUGCAGUGGGUACGGGCAAACUAGAGUGCGGUAGGGGAGAUUGGAAUUCCUGGUGUAGCGGUGGAAUGCGCAGAUAUCAGGAGGAACACCGGUGGCGAAGGCGGAUCUCUGGGCCGAUACUGACGCUGAGGAGCGAAAGCGUGGGGAGCGAACAGG
This 254-nucleotide ribosomal RNA is filed under the name uncultured bacterium. RNAcentral's name for it is "partial 16S ribosomal RNA". It matches the Rfam family "Bacterial small subunit ribosomal RNA", at positions 524 to 776 of the family's 1533-position model. The record is from RNAcentral.